This 400-nucleotide ribosomal RNA is filed under the name uncultured bacterium. RNAcentral describes it as "bacterial SSU rRNA". It matches the Rfam family "Bacterial small subunit ribosomal RNA", at positions 356 to 772 of the family's 1533-position model. The record is from RNAcentral.
AGGGAAUUUUCCACAAUGGGCGAAAGCCUGAUGGAGCAACGCCGCGUGCAGGAUGAAUGCCUUCGGGUUGUAAACUGCUUUUAUCUGUGACGAAUAUGACGGUAGCAGAUGAAUAAGGAUCGGCUAACUCCGCGCCAGCAGCCGCGGUCAUACGGAGGAUCCAAGCGUUAUCCGGAAUUACUGGGCGUAAAGAGUUGCGUAGGUGGCAUAGUAAGUAGAUGGUGAAAGCGUGCAGCUCAACUGCAUAUACAUCAUCUAAACUGCUAAGCUAGAGGACGAGAGAGGUAGAUGGAAUUCCCAGUGUAGGAGUGAAAUCCGUAGAUAUUGGGAGGAACACCGAUGGCGUAGGCAGUCUACUGGCUCGUUCCUGACACUAAGGCACGAAAGCGUGGGGAGCAAA